CUUGGUCAUUUAGAGGAAGUAAAAGUCGUAACAAGGUCUCCGUUGGUGAACCAGCGGAGGGAUCAUUACCGAGUUUACAACUCCCAAACCCCUGUGAACAUACCUUACUGUUGCCUCGGCGGAUCAGCCCGCUCCCGGUAAAACGGGACGGCCCGCCAGAGGACCCCUAAACUCUGUUUCUAUAUGUAACUUCUGAGUAAAACCAUAAAUAAAUCAAAACUUUCAACAACGGAUCUCUUGGUUCUGGCAUCGAUGAAGAACGCAGCAAAAUGCGAUAAGUAAUGUGAAUUGCAGAAUUCAGUGAAUCAUCGAAUCUUUGAACGCACAUUGCGCCCGCCAGUAUUCUGGCGGGCAUGCCUGUUCGAGCGUCAUUUCAACCCUCAAGCCCUCGGGUUUGGUGUUGGGGAUCGGCGAGCCUUUCUGGCAAGCCGGCCCCGAAAUCUAGUGGCGGUCUCGCUGCAGCCUCCAUUGCGUAGUAGUAAAACCCUCGCAACUGGAACGCGGCGCGGCCAAGCCGUUAAACCCCCAACUUCUGAAUGUUGACCUCGGAUCAGGUAGGAAUACCCGCUGAACUUAAGCAUAUCAAUAAGCGGAGGAAAAGAAACCAACAGGGAUUGCCCUAGUAACGGCGAGUGAAGCGGCAACAGCUCAAAUUUGAAAUCUGGCUCUCGGGCCCGAGUUGUAAUUUGUAGAGGAUGCUUUUGAUGCGGUGCCUUCCGAGUUCCCUGGAACGGGACGCCAUAGAGGGUGAGAGCCCCGUCUGGUUGGAUGCCAAAUCUCUGUAAAGCUCCUUCAACGAGUCGAGUUGUUUGGGAAU
Molecule: small RNA, 817 nt
Filed under: uncultured Fusarium
Lineage: Eukaryota; Fungi; Ascomycota; Sordariomycetes; Hypocreales; Nectriaceae
Description: eukaryotic LSU rRNA
Rfam family: Eukaryotic large subunit ribosomal RNA (bases 541-817)
Source: RNAcentral